Molecule: ribosomal RNA, 301 nt
Filed under: uncultured bacterium
Lineage: Bacteria
Description: partial 16S ribosomal RNA
Rfam family: Bacterial small subunit ribosomal RNA
Source: RNAcentral
CAGCAGCCACGGGAAUACGAAGGGGGCUAGCGUUGUUCGGAAUUACUGGGCGUAAAGCGCACGUAGGCGGAUCGAUCAGUCAGGGGUGAAAUCCCAGGGCUCAACCCUGGAACUGCCUUUGAUACUGUCGAUCUGGAGUAUGGAAGAGGUGAGUGGAAUUCCGAGUGUAGAGGUGAAAUUCGUAGAUAUUCGGAGGAACACCAGUGGCGAAGGCGGCUCACUGGUCCAUUACUGACGCUGAGGUGCGAAAGCGUGGGGAGCAAACAGGAUUAGAUACCCCUGUAGUCCCUGUCUCUUAUAU